Molecule: ribosomal RNA, 258 nt
Filed under: uncultured bacterium
Lineage: Bacteria
Description: partial 16S ribosomal RNA
Rfam family: Bacterial small subunit ribosomal RNA
Source: RNAcentral
UACGAAGGGGGCUAGCGUUGUUCGGAAUUACUGGGCGUAAAGCGCGCGUAGGCGGCGCGACAAGUCAGGGGUGAAAUCCCGGAGCUUAACUCCGGAACUGCCUUUGAAACUGUCGUGCUGGAAUCUCAGAGGGGAUAGCGGAAUUCCAAAUGUAGGGGUGGAAAUCCGUAGAUAUCUGGAGGAACACCGGGUGGCGAAGGCGGCAUCCCUGGACCGGCAUUGACGGCUGAGGCGCGAAAGCCGGGGAGCAAAACGGGG